This is a non-coding RNA of Acanthosepion pharaonis, 109 nucleotides long. The record is from the annotation of a GenBank genome assembly. NCBI's taxonomy places the organism in Eukaryota, Metazoa, Mollusca, Cephalopoda, Sepiida, Sepiidae.
CAGUCAUAUCAUGUUGAAACACCAGUUCUCAUAUAAUCACCAAAGUUAAACAACAUUCAGCCUGGUCACUAUCUAGAUGGGUGACCACUUGGGAAUACCAGGUACUGUA